UGCAUAAGUGAAAAAUACUAUCGAUCCUAAGAUCAUUACGAUCGCAGUAGAUACGAAAUUUUCUGACGAGGCUUACGCGAUCAGUGACUAGAAAACCAAUACAAAGUGGAGUUAUGAUCAUGGUGAUGGUAUGCCAUAGUGUUGUUAUACCGGAUAUGAGACUGGAAUAUGCUGGAGCUAUGCAGACUGGCAUUACUCUGAAAAAUAGAAAAGAUACAACCUGCUCGUAUUCCAUCAAAAAUCAAUAAAAAUGAAUAAUAAGUUGUCGUGAGAGAAAUAUUUUUUUGAAAACUUUGGGUCUUUCCAGGUCAGUGUUUUUAAAUUAAAAAAAAAAAAAAUCAUUUUGGAAAAAUUGGAAAGAAUUGAAGAGCUCUUUUUCAUAGGAUUUUAAGAUGCGUCCAAUUGAUUCGAUGGCUCAACUUGGGGCAGUUUGGAAACCAUUUGAUUCUCUAUUCGUCUAUAUCUCUAAAGUGUAAGGAGAUGAAUCGGAGGACAUUUUUUUUUUUUUUUUAGUUACGACUUCGUACCACAAGAUGACGCAUCAAACUCAUUUUUGACCAAAACUGACUCAAACCACUUUGGAUAGGACCUCUUCAAUUGCUCUAAUAUUGAUAUUUUUGACCAAUUUUUAAAAUUAAUUUUCACGUCAACGUUUCAGGAAACGAAGAAGAAAAAAUUGCGUGAAAAAUGGUAUUUUUAGUAGUUUUUUUUUUUUUUUUUUUUUUUUUUGAAGUACAUACCUACAAGAAAUGGCAUGAAAAAGUUUUCAAAGAAAUCCAAGGAAAUUAUUUACAAUGGAA
Long non-coding RNA from Planococcus citri (citrus mealybug), 800 nucleotides. RefSeq lists it as uncharacterized. The transcript has 3 exons. The record is from RefSeq and is a predicted model, not a curated record. NCBI's taxonomy places the organism in Eukaryota, Metazoa, Arthropoda, Insecta, Hemiptera, Pseudococcidae.